RNAcentral lists this ribosomal RNA (253 nucleotides) under uncultured bacterium. Its description in RNAcentral is "partial 16S ribosomal RNA". It matches the Rfam family "Bacterial small subunit ribosomal RNA", at positions 524 to 776 of the family's 1533-position model. The record is from RNAcentral.
UACAGAGGUGGCAAGCGUUGUUCGGAAUCACUGGGCAUAAAGGGCGCGUAGGCGGCGAGGCAAGUCGGGUGUGAAAUCCCUCAGCUCAACUGAGGAACUGCGCCCGAAACUACCUUGCUAGAGUGCAGGAGAGGAGAGUGGAACUCCUAGUGGAGCGGUGAAAUGCGUAGAUAUCUGGAGGAACACCGGUGGCGAAGGCGGCAUCCUGGACCGAGAUUGACGCUGAGGCGCGAAAGCCAGGGGAGCAAACGGG